Molecule: long non-coding RNA, 832 nt
Filed under: Homo sapiens (human)
Lineage: Eukaryota; Metazoa; Chordata; Mammalia; Primates; Hominidae
Description: HSALNT0391743
Source: RNAcentral
AAUGCAGCUCUGCCUUCCUGCUCCCUGUGCAGAGGUGCCGGCUCCUGCUUCCUGGUUCCCAGCUUUCCUUUUGGGAACUGCCUGAGGUGGUUUGACACACAGCUGUUGGGCUUCUCUUCCCUUGAGGUCUCUGAACCAGGGCACCCAUGCAGGGAGAGGGCCCUCUGAAGGUGAAGGCAGAGACGGGGACGACGCAGCAGCAAGACACGGAUGACCAAAGGCUGUCGGCAAACCACCAGGACACAGGCCUGGGACAGAGUCACAGCCUCAGAAGGAACCAACCCUGCCAACACCGUGAUCGUAGACUUCCCAACCUCCAAAACUGUGAGACAGUCAAUUUCUGUUGUCUACGCCACCAGGACACUAAUACAAAUGCCUAUAGAUGCUGGGCAGGCAGCUGAGACAAAUGGAGUGGGUAGGGCUGCAGCUCGCCACCUUGAGAGGGCUCUGAAGAGAAUCACCCUGAAUUGCAGCCACAGUCAGCAGCCUGGAGGUGAGGGCAUGUGACAGGCAGAGCCCAGAGGCCCAGAAGAGACCUGGGUCCCCAGCCUCAGCAAGGACGACAAGGACAAGGAGACCACCCAAGGGAUAGAGCUAGGGUCACCCCACCAUACACUCAUCAUAGUCAAACCACUGGGGAGAAUCAGAAACUCGGGCAAAGCACACACUCCCUGCAAGCAGCCAAGAAUCUCGCAUGACCAGUCUGGUCCUCUGGAUCUCCACAUGUGGCCACGUGUGGCGCGUGGCAUCCCCUCCACCCCAAUGCCUGGUAUGGUCGACCUGGAAAUGACAUCUAGGAAACUGAGAAUGGAAAGCCAUGUGGGGGCAGCGC